This is an RNA transcript of Corylus avellana, 2884 nucleotides long. It is a transcript of the gene named DENN (AEX-3) domain-containing protein, with no coding region annotated. NCBI's taxonomy places the organism in Eukaryota, Viridiplantae, Streptophyta, Magnoliopsida, Fagales, Betulaceae. The record is from RefSeq and is a predicted model, not a curated record.
GAGGGAUAUUUUUUAGGAUGGCUAAUAAUGAAGAGACAGGUAGCCCAGGUUGGGGUGCUUCGUUUGAAGAUGUUGCAAGAGCUGUUGCUGCUGCGGCUGCUGCUGCCACUGCUGCUCGUUCACCACGGCCAUCUGUGGUAUUUUCGUCGAAAGAUGAUAAUGGUGGUAGCCCAAUACAAAAACUGCAGCGCCAAGUUGCUAGAGUGCUAAAAGGAUUCUCACAGCCAUCUGAAGUGAAAAGUGCAACAUACAAUCCAGAAGUUCUGACUAGCCAAAAACGCCAAUGGGCAAGCUUUCAGUUGCAAUACUUGGAUCAUAGGUCUUUAAAGGAGCCAACAAAACUUUUUGAGAGCAUGGUAGUUGUAGGGCUUCAUCCUAACUGUGAUAUUCAAGCACUUCAUAGGCAAUACAUUGCCAGAAAGUCUGAAGGUUCUGGAAGAUUGCGAAGUGCGCUAAGUUCUCAGAAUCAAUCGCGUGUAGAACCCAACAUUGAACCUCAGGUCUUAUUUGUUUACCCUCCAGAAAAGCAGCUGCCUCUUAAAUACAAAGAUCUUCUUUCAUUUUGCUUCCCUGGAGGCUUGGAGGUUCAUUCCGUUGAGAGAAGUCCUUCCAUGAGUGAGUUGAAUGAAAUUCUUCUUGGGCAGGAACACUUCAAACAAAGUGAUCUCUCCUUUGUAUUCCGGUUACAGGUAGCUGAUGAUUCAACAAUGUACGGAUGCUGUGUGUUAGUUGAAGAACUAGUACAAAAGCCCUCUGGAUUGCUUUCCAUGAUUUCAGAUAAACCACCUUCCUGCCCAUCUUUAAGCCGUCAUAUAUUAACCACACGGAGAUGUUAUUGCAUUCUCUCAAGGCUUCCAUUCUUUGAAUUGCAUUUUGGUGUAUUGAAUAGCAUAUUCACAGAAGAAAGGUUGGAACGGUUAACAAAAGAUAUUGGUAUUUUGAAUUUUGAGUCCCCUGAGGAUUGUAGGAAGGAAGAAAACUUUGAAGAAAAUACAGAUGAAAAUUCAGAUGGUGUAUCACCGAAUCAUAGAGUUGCAGAGGACAUGCUGAAUGGAACUGCUGAAACUUCCGAAUUAAGUUUAAGAGAGUCUAAGCCUGAAAGAGUUUCAGAUGAUGGGAGUCACGAAGAUCGUCAAAUGCUUGAUGGGGACCUUUGUUUGCUGAAGAAAGGUGUCAAUGAUAAUGGUGUUCCUGUAGAUCCUGAUUCUGAGAUGGUGACAGUGAAAAGAGAAUCUAGUGCUGCAAAUUCUGAAGAUUGUUAUAUCAACGCUGAUGAUUGCUCAACAAACAAGCAAGUGGUAGAAAAGCGUUUACCAAAUGCUGUCCUGCCACUCCUGCGGCAUUAUCAGUCUGAAAGCUCUGAAUCUUCCUCUAGUUUUCAGGGUUCUCCUAGUGACGAAAGAAAUUUUAGAAGUGAUGUUGAUGAUACGGAGACAGAAGAGGCAUCUUUCUCUGGCCAGGAGGAUCCCAGUGACCUCAUUGAUAUUCUUGAAUGGGCUAAGGCAAACAACCAUGGAUCAUUACAGAUAAUAUGCGAGUAUUAUCGGUUACAGUUCCCUGCAAGGGGUUCAACACUAAGGUUUUGGCCUUUGGAGCACCUGCAUCCUUUGGAAUAUCACAGACCAGAUGAAACAGUUUUACAUAUUGGUGGCUCAACUAUUGAUUUGAGAUCAUGCAGUACAAGUCUGGAGUUUGCUGAGGCUCACAGUGCGCUUUUGGUGGAGGAGGAAGCAACUGCAUUAUCAGUUUGGGCUGUUGCAUGCAUAUGUGGCUCCUUACGACUUGAGAAUGUCUUGACAUUGGUUGCAGGAGCUCUACUGGAGAAGCAUAUUGUGGUUGUUUGUUCCAAUCUGGGAAUCUUAUCAGCCUCAGUUUUGUCCAUUAUCCCUCUAAUCCGUCCCUACCAGUGGCAAAGCCUGCUAAUGCCGGUUUUACCAAAUGACAUGCUGGACUUUUUGGAUGCACCUGUCCCGUACAUUGUGGGUGUGAAGAACAAAACCAAUGAAGUACAGUCAAAGUUGACUAAUGUCAUUUUGGUUGAUGUCAACAAGAACCAGGUGAAGUCACCGUCAAUACCUCAACUGCCACAACAAAAGGAGUUAUUUUCCUCCUUACGUCCUUAUCAUGCAAAACUUGUAGGAGAAAGUUAUUUGGGGAGGAAACGGCCAGUGUACGAAUGCACAGAUGUGCAGGUCGAAGCAGCCAAGGGUUUCCUAGCAGUACUAAGGUCUUACUUGGAUUCUCUUUGCUCUAAGCUCCGUUCACAUACAAUUACAAAUGUACAGUCCAAUGAUGAUAAGGUAUCAUUGCUUUUGAAGGAGAGUUUCAUCGACUCAUUCCCUAGUCGUGAUCGUCCAUUUAUGAAGCUUUUCGUGGACACGCAACUCUUUUCUGUACAUACAGAUCUCGUUCUCUCAUUCUUCCAGAAGGAAUAAUGCUGCCAUGCUAGAUUGGCCUGGAGUUUGUAGCAUUUUGUUGUAAAUUGAAGACCAUUUGUCAAAGCAAGCUCGUGUACAUUCACUUUCUAAGCAGCAUAGUGUAUUGACCCAUCAGUAUCCUCCCUUGAACGGUCACAUUCAAGAGUGAUGUUACACACUUUCUGUCGUGGUUUUUAAAAUUAUUAUUAGUAAUGAUUUUAUAAGUUAGAGAGUGCGGGAGUAGGUGUGUAGUAUUACUCUUCUUUUAAGGGACAAUUUUUCAUCAAAAAGACAAAUUUCUAACCUAAUCUAUUAAAUUGACCACCGACUCUAGAACGUGUGCUUUUUACAUGCAUUUUUAAUGAAGCAUAUGAAUCUACAUGAAAAUCACAUGAUCUAGGGACAUGUUAGUUUGGAGUAAUACUAUUUAGUGGACGGAUAUAUGAUUGUUAUAUAAUUUGGAUGAU